This 85-nucleotide transfer RNA is filed under the name Aliiroseovarius sp. Its description in RNAcentral is "tRNA-Leu". It matches the Rfam family "tRNA". From Rfam's summary of the family: Transfer RNA (tRNA) molecules are approximately 80 nucleotides in length. Their secondary structure includes four short double-helical elements and three loops (D, anti-codon, and T loops). Lineage: Bacteria; Pseudomonadati; Pseudomonadota; Alphaproteobacteria; Rhodobacterales; Paracoccaceae. The record is from RNAcentral.
GCGGGUGUGGCGGAAUUGGUAGACGCACCAGAUUUAGGUUCUGGCGCCGUGAGGCGUGGAGGUUCGAGUCCUCUCACCCGCACCA